Molecule: non-coding RNA, 83 nt
Organism: Helianthus annuus (common sunflower)
Lineage: Eukaryota; Viridiplantae; Streptophyta; Magnoliopsida; Asterales; Asteraceae
Source: Rfam
GAGCUGUGAUGACAAGCCUCUCAUGAUGGUUGGGUCUAUCAUAACAACUUCUUAUUGAAGAAAUAACAGGCCUUUCUGAGCUC